This 42-nucleotide transfer RNA is filed under the name Craugastor augusti (barking frog). Its description in RNAcentral is "tRNA-Val". The record is from RNAcentral. Lineage: Eukaryota; Metazoa; Chordata; Amphibia; Anura; Craugastoridae.
CGAAAUAUAGCUUAAACAAAGCAUCUUGCUUACACCGAGAAA